UCGAGAAUCUUUCGCAAUGGACGGAAGUCUGACGAAGCGACGCCGCGUGUGUGAUGAAGGCUCUAGGGUUGUAAAGCACUUUCGCUUGGGAAUAAGAGAAGACGGUUAAUACCCGUUGGAUUUGAGCGUACCAGGUAAAGAAGCACCGGCUAACUCCGUGCCAGCAGCUGCGGUAAUACGGAGGGUGCUAGCGUUAAUCGGAUUUAUUGGGCGUAAAGGGCGUGUAGGCGGAAAGGUAAGUUAGUUGUCAAAUCUCGGGGCUCAACCCCGAAUCGGCAUCUAAAACUAUUUUUCUAGAGGGUAGAUGGAGAAAAGGGAAUUUCACGUGUAGCGGUGAAAUGCGUAGAUAUGUGGAAGAACACCAGUGGCGAAGGCGCUUUUCUAAUUUAUACCUGACGCUAAGGCGCGAAAGCAAGGGGAGCAAACA
RNAcentral lists this ribosomal RNA (427 nucleotides) under uncultured Chlamydia sp. Its description in RNAcentral is "bacterial SSU rRNA". It matches the Rfam family "Bacterial small subunit ribosomal RNA", at positions 355 to 774 of the family's 1533-position model. Lineage: Bacteria; Pseudomonadati; Chlamydiota; Chlamydiia; Chlamydiales; Chlamydiaceae. The record is from RNAcentral.